UUUUUAUGGAGAGUUUGAUCCUGGCUCAGGAUGAACGCUGGCGGCGUGCCUAAUACAUGCAAGUCGAGCGAACAGACGAGGAGCUUGCUCCUCUGACGUUAGCGGCGGACGGGUGAGUAACACGUGGAUAACCUACCUAUAAGACUGGGAUAACUUCGGGAAACCGGAGCUAAUACCGGAUAAUAUAUUAAACCGCAUGGUUC
RNAcentral lists this ribosomal RNA (203 nucleotides) under Staphylococcus epidermidis. RNAcentral's name for it is "16S rRNA. Bacterial SSU". It matches the Rfam family "Bacterial small subunit ribosomal RNA", at positions 1 to 196 of the family's 1533-position model. Lineage: Bacteria; Bacillati; Bacillota; Bacilli; Caryophanales; Staphylococcaceae. The record is from RNAcentral.